AGUAGAGCUUCUGUUGGAUAAGAGUUGCAAAGAAGUAGAGACCAGAGGAGUUGAAUAAAGGGGAAACGAGGACAUUGAAAAAUGGUGACGCCGGUCGGAAGGAACAUAGCAGCACCAUUGCUGCUCUUGAAUCUGGUUAUGUACCUUAUUGUACUUGGUUUCGCUAGUUGGUGUGUUAAUAAAUACAUCAACGGCCAGACCAACCACCCAAGUUUUGUAGGCAAUGGAGCAACCCCCUUCUUCCUUACAUUCUCGAUCUUAGCAGCCGUUAUAGGGAUAGCGUCGAAGUUCGCCGGAGCUAACCGUAUUAGAUUCUUUUUUCUCUUUUUGGUAAUCCUGUUACCGCUCUUGCCAUGGGGUAAUGCAUCAUAUACGUAUAUAUUUACCAAAAGCA
Raphanus sativus (radish) is the source of this 394-nucleotide long non-coding RNA. RefSeq lists it as uncharacterized. The record is from RefSeq and is a predicted model, not a curated record. NCBI's taxonomy places the organism in Eukaryota, Viridiplantae, Streptophyta, Magnoliopsida, Brassicales, Brassicaceae. The transcript is spliced from 2 exons.